AUAUCAAUAAGCGGAGGAAAAGAAACUAACAAGGAUUCCCCUAGUAACUGCGAGUGAAGCGGGAAAAGCUCAAAUUUGAAAUCUGGCGGUCGUUGAUCGUCCGAGUUGUAAUCUAGAGAAGUGUUGCCUGCGCUGGACCAUGUACAAGUCUUCUGGAAUGGAGCGUCGCAGAGGGUGAGAAUCCCGUCUUUGACAUGGACUGCCAGUGCGCUGUGGUACGCUCUCGAAGAGUCGAGUUGUUUGGGAAUGCAGCUCAAAAUGGGUGGUAAAUGCCAUCUAAAGCUAAAUAUUGGCGAGAGACCGAUAGCGAACAAGUACCGUGAGGGAAAGAUGAAAAGAACUUUGGAAAGAGAGUUAAACAGUACGUGAAAUUGCUGAAAGGGAAACGCUUGAAGUCAGUCGCGUUGGCCAGAAAUCAGCCCUGCUUCUGUGUGGUGUACUUUCUGGUCGACGGGUCAGCAUCAAUUUUGGCCGCUGGAUAAAGUCUCUGGGAAUGUGGCAUCUCUUUUGAUGUGUUAUAGCCCAUUGUCGCAUGCGGUGGCUGGGAUUGAGGAACUCAGCACGCCCUCGCAAGGGGGCCAGGUUUCGACCAUGUUCGUGCUUAGGAUGCUGGCAUAAUGGCUUCAAUCGACCCGUCUUGAAACACGGACCAAGGAGUCUAACAUGCCUGCGAGUGUUUGGGUGGAAAACCCGUGCGCGCAAUGAAAGUGAAAGUUGAGAUCUCUGUAAAAGGAGAGCAUCGAUGCCCGGACCAGACCUUCUGCGACGGAUCCGCGGUAGAGCAUGCAUGUUGGGACCCGAAAGAUGGUGAACUAUGCCUGAAUAGGGUGAAGCCAGAGGAAACUCUGGUGGAGGCUCGUAGCGAUUCUGACGUGCAAAUCGAUCGUCAAAUUUGGGUAUAGGGGCGAAAGACUAAUCGAACCAUCUAGUAGCUGGUUCCUGCC
This 944-nucleotide ribosomal RNA is filed under the name Inocybe subferruginea. RNAcentral's name for it is "eukaryotic LSU rRNA". It matches the Rfam family "Eukaryotic large subunit ribosomal RNA", at positions 40 to 962 of the family's 3401-position model. The record is from RNAcentral. Lineage: Eukaryota; Fungi; Basidiomycota; Agaricomycetes; Agaricales; Inocybaceae.